This 425-nucleotide ribosomal RNA is filed under the name Gigaspora rosea. RNAcentral's name for it is "eukaryotic LSU rRNA". It matches the Rfam family "Eukaryotic large subunit ribosomal RNA", at positions 1 to 423 of the family's 3401-position model. The record is from RNAcentral. Lineage: Eukaryota; Fungi; Glomeromycota; Glomeromycetes; Diversisporales; Gigasporaceae.
UGACCUCAAGUCAUGUGAGAGUACCCGCUGAACUUAAGCAUAUCAAUGAGCGGAGGAAAAGAAACUAACAAGGAUUCCCCUAGUAACGGCGAGUGAAGCGGGAAGAGUACAAAUUUAAAAUCUACCUGGUUUCCAGGUCGAGUUGUAAUUUGAAGAUACGUUUUUGACGUUUCUGGUUGGACUAAAUCCUUUGGGAUAAGGUAUCAUGGAGGGUGAGAAUCCCGUAUAUACCAACCUAGGGAUGUUAUUUAAUACGUUUCUAAGAGUCGAGUUGUUUGGAAAUGCAGCUCUAAAUGGGUGGUGAAUUUCACCUAAUGCUAAAUAUAAACGAGAGACCGAUAGUGAAUAAGUACAGUGAUGGAAAGAUGAAAAGAACUUUGAAAAGAGAGUUAAAUAGUAUGUGAAAUUGUUGAAAGGGAAACGAU